GCAUCUAUGUGUGAACGUGCUUCCUGGCAAAUCCAGAUGUGAUGCAGAAAUCCUAAGUGAGGAUUUCCAGCACUGACUACAGGGGACACAGGCUUCUGAGAAUGGAACUGAUCUUGGCAGAAUAGCAGCUGUGAAGUGAAGCAGAACUAAAAUACAGGCACUGCCCAGGAUGGACAUCUGUGGUCUCAGACAGUGAUUCCCUAGGAAGAAGGGGAGCCUUUGUCUCACCUGCACAACCCAGGUGGAUGUGACAGAAUUGGUGUGGCCUGACAAGGCAUGAACAGCUCUCUGUGUUCUGGAAUGCCUUGAAACCUUUCUCUGUCAGGUUUUGGAGGGGUUUCUCUCUGGGAUUUCUUGUGAUGCAGCACCCCAGGUGGCCCUUUGUGCAAAGUCCAGCAGUAAAGGAUUGAAUAACAGCCAAGGGUCUGGGAUGAAAAUGGUUCUGUUAAAAUUAAGCAAAGAAUGCAAUAAGAAAAAUGAGCAUCUUUUUAAUGUCUGAAAUAGUUAGGUAUAAAAAUGGUGGAAAAAGGCACUUUUAUAUUUGAAUUGGUGUCACCUGUCAUGGAUAAAACCCCAUAAUGAGCAAUCAGAGCAGAAAUGUGAAAGCUGGGAUCCUUUGACUUCUGCAGUGGAUCUAAUUUUCUUUUUCUCCUCUCUUUCAGGACAAGAAAAAGCAUCACACUCCUCCUGUCUUUGCCAAAAGCUGUGGUGUUUGAGCACCCAAAGCCAAGAGGCUUCAGCACCAGGGCUCUUCCCUGGAGGGCUCCUGGUCCUACCCAUGCUGUGGGUAAGAAGAACAUGAACCCACAGCCGUUCAGGCCUGACAGUCCCCAGCAGCGAGAGCUCAGCACAACAUCCACAGAGGCAAGUCCAGCAUCUGAAAGAAAAGAAAAAACUGAGAAGAAAAAGGUAAUUUAUUUUGCUUCAAAGUUAUUUCAGGUUCUUAAAGCCCAACCAACAUUUGCUCUUGAUUUUGGUUGGGUGAAUCAUGAGCAGUGAGCAUAGGUCAUGCCAUUCAUUUAGCUGAAAACCCAGGGUCCCUCAUAGAGGGGACACAAGAACUGUUUGUGUAGGAAAAUGUGAGGGGAUGUCAAGGGGAGUGG
Catharus ustulatus (Swainson's thrush) is the source of this 1103-nucleotide long non-coding RNA. RefSeq lists it as uncharacterized. NCBI's taxonomy places the organism in Eukaryota, Metazoa, Chordata, Aves, Passeriformes, Turdidae. The record is from RefSeq and is a predicted model, not a curated record. The transcript is spliced from 3 exons.